Molecule: small nuclear RNA, 103 nt
Filed under: Marmota monax (woodchuck)
Lineage: Eukaryota; Metazoa; Chordata; Mammalia; Rodentia; Sciuridae
Source: RNAcentral
UUGCUUUAGCAGCACAUAUACUAAAAUUGGAAAGAUACAGAGAAGAUUAGAAUGGUCCCUGCACAAAAAUGACAUGCAAAUUCGUGAAGCGUUCAAUAUUUUU